CCCGUCCCCGCUGCACUCCGUCCUCCAUUACUCCUUUUCUCGGCCCGCGCGGCCCCUAACCUGCUCGAACCCGUUGUGCUGUAGAGGCGGCCGGGUCCCUUUAAGGCCCCGCUGCGCCUGCGCCUUAGGAUCUCCUGACGCGGCCGAGCGGGACCCUGAGGAGCCAGCGGGCCGCAGGCAAGGUGCUGGGCGGCGGUUGAGACAGCGGCGGUGCUGGGAGGGGUAGGUGAGGAUCGCGAGGUUGCCUGAGCUCUGAGUGAGCCUGGUGAUUUUGGGAACGCGGGAGGGGCGACCUGCGGCGCCAGGAGCGGGACCGAGGCACGGCGGCACGGCUGCCGCCUGGAUGGGAAGUUAAAGUUUACUGCGAAGUCCACCUAGCGUUGCAGAGGUGAGGACACCGCGCCAGGCCGGGCAGGAGGCAAUCUGAAGGCAAAUCCUGUUUAGACCCAGGCAAAUGUUCCUGGUGACCCAGGCUCUCACGAGCAGAUUGUCCCUUACCGUCCUCCUGAGGGUGUCUGGAGCUUCAGUGCUGUGUGCUCUUGGCUUCCACACUGGGGGUGCCACCAACUCCCACUGUCCAGGGCUUCCAGUGGACUCUCCGAGGCACUGAUGUAGAAACUUCCUCAUUCGGUGCACCAAGAGCAGCCUCACAUGGUGUGGGCUGAAUGAAGAGCUGCCAGAUCCCACAGAUGGAGUUAUGGCUCUGUUCCUUGGGCUCGAAUGCAAUGGCACGAUCUCAGCUCACUGCAGCCUCCACCUCCUGGGUUCAAGUGAUUCUCCUCCCUCGGCCUUCUGAAUAGCUGGGAUUACAGCCCUUGAGGAUAAAUAUGGUCAAACAAAAUAAUAUCGUACCUGGAGAAACUCAGAUCUUGCUAAGAUUUACUGCUUGGGAAUCCAAUGUUAAUGCCAAGAAGCAGCCACCAGUUGGGAUCAAAUGUGAGCCUGUGGAUCAAGGUGCGUACUCGAACACAGAGAGCUUUUUGAAAGAUGCUACCAGUAGUUUUUCCAGAGCAGAGAUGGGUCCUUUAUUUUUCUCUCUAAUCUAGCCCAUAUGCUUAGCUGAGAAGGUUUCUUCAUAUCACUUUGAAUGAUGAUUUCCCUUGUUCAACAAUUUUCUAAACAUUCUUUAGAUAAGAAUUUUAUGGGCAUUCUUUAUUGCAUUAGGCUUAAAUUUAAUGCAUCUUAAGGUUUUAUUGCAAAGUGUUGCCUUGUUUCCUUUUUAAGAUGUUACAAUUUAUAACAUGCAAGUUUGCUGUCUGUCCCCUCCCUUUAUGUGCAUAGAAAAUGAGCAAACAUGUGGCCAUGAAAUGGAUGGUCAUAGAAUUGGUUCAGUGGUUGUGAGUGCAGCAACCCCAGAGAGUCUUGUCUGAAAUACCACCAGGAAUGCCUGGACACAGUAGACAAAGGUUUUUCAACUGGACGCCUUAGGAUACAUGCUUCCAAAAACAAAGUAGCCGAAAAGAAACCAGAAUCACAGAAUAUCAGGGCCAGAGGAACAUUUGGAGGUAAGUCAGUACCUCCUCCUUUUCAACCUACAGGGGAGAUAGUGGAACAGAAGCAGGGAUGGGCCUGCCUGCUGUGCCCACAAUUCACUGGAGAUUGUUGUGGUGAAGAAUUUCAUUUAUGAUGAAGGAGAAAUAAACCCCCAUCAGCUUAAAUUCAGGCAGGUUUAUUGAAAAGGUGAAGAAGCAUCUUGCAGAAGCAAAGCAUGGCUGAGGCUUGUGGGCUCUGGGAAAAUGAGCAGCCGACAGUGGCUGAUGCUGCCCUCGCCUCUGGGGCUGUGUGGUCUGUUGUUCCCUGUGAGCAUCUCUUAUAUUCUCUUGCAUCUUCCCUCAGCCUGACAGUCUCUGUAUACUCUUCAACACAUAAUUGAGCGAGGCUGUACCAGCCCCAAUGCCACAUAGCACUUUAGGUCAAAUUAGAAAGGCGUGAAAUAAACUGGCCCGUUAUAAUACAGCUGUUGGAACAACAGUGGAAAAUAACAAUAUCUUGACUCCUGGUUGAAUGCUUUAUGCUGAGCUUUCUUUUCUGAAUACGAGCACAGACAUUGGGAUAUUAGUGUCACCUAGUGUUAUUAGCUAGUAUUCUCCUUUUGUUUCCCCAUAACAUCCCCUCCUCCUUCCCACAGAUCCACUCUCCACUCAUUUCCAUCCUGUCUUAUGCCACUCAGGGCUUGUCCCUUCUAAAAUGCAUCCCUGGCUCCCCUGCAUGCACACUUCUAGUUAGGUUUAGCAAUGGGGGCACCUGAAGGAGCCUGGAAGUGAGAGGAAGGUGAGAUCCGUAUUUCUUCCCUCUCCUUCCCUGCUCUGGCACUGAGUAUCUGGCAAUAGCUGCAUCUGUCUAUUACUUCAGUGGCCACUCUUCCACAGCCCCAAUUCUCAGUGGAUCCCAUAGCAUUAUUUACCUUUGUUCCUUUAGCUCCCAUCAAGGAAGAUCCAGAGACAUUCUCCUCACCAAGGCGUUAAGAAAUGCACAGGUGAGGGGAACAGUGGCACACGUGUAAAGGUCCUGUGGCACCUCUUCUCUGCAGACUGGAGGUCAUGGCGGGAGAUGCUGCAUGGAUUUGCCCUCCCUGCUGUCAGUGAGAACAAUAGGGUUCUGGAAGAGUAGAGGACAGGCCAUGGGACUCGGCAGUCUAGAAACAAGGUGGGAGGGAUUUCCUUGAGAGGCAGGGACAUGUGGUGGUUACUAAUCAUUGUGAGGUGUCUGGGAAUGUAAUGGAUGGGAAAUCUACUAAGAAAUCAACUUAUGUAAUAAUUAGAAAAGCUCUAGUUCUGAGGAAGGAGACCUGAUGGAGUCACCAUAGUGGGAAUUUAUGACCUGGCAUCCAGUUCAGAUACCUGGAGCUUCUUGACUGAGGGGAGAUUGGAUCCCUUGAGGAAGAGUGAAGCCUUCAAUGCUGCCACAAGUGUAUGCUGUAAAUCUUCCUCCAGGCCUUCCCCAGAAGGACCUGAAACCAUUUAUGUGGGUGAACGAGGAAUGGGAAAUAAUCAGAGCUUCUGUGGCUUUUUGGAUUCUGGCUCUGAAGAAUGCUAACCUAAGGGCACCUGUGGUGGCCAUGAAAAUGCACUGCUUGCAUCUCCAGCUGCAGGAGGCCUAUCGAAUCAACAGCCCCAGCUGCUACACUCUGAAUCGAGGGCUUGAUGACAUUUCCCCCAGAUCAGUACUAGCCCAUGAGGAGGAAAGCUUCAUAUCAAGUCCUACCAACGGAACAUCAUGAGGAUGUCGAAGCUGUUUUCCUGUGGCAACUGUGACUUUCUUUCUACAAAGUCUGUUUUGUUCAUGCACAUUAGCUGUGAUUUAUAUAAAAUAAGAGAAUAAAUGCCUACACUCC
Symphalangus syndactylus (siamang) is the source of this 3334-nucleotide long non-coding RNA. RefSeq lists it as uncharacterized. Lineage: Eukaryota; Metazoa; Chordata; Mammalia; Primates; Hylobatidae. The record is from RefSeq and is a predicted model, not a curated record.